This 210-nucleotide long non-coding RNA is filed under the name Homo sapiens (human). RNAcentral describes it as "non-protein coding lnc-ABI3-5:1". The record is from RNAcentral. Lineage: Eukaryota; Metazoa; Chordata; Mammalia; Primates; Hominidae.
CUGGGGCCCAGUUAUAGCUUUCAUUCUCUACCACCAUGGAUCUUCAUUCAUGCACCAACUGGGGAAGCACUAAGUUGACCAAUGACAGAGACUGGCUCAUGUCAGCUGGCCUAGUUAUUCUGUCUACUUAGUUGUAUAGUACAUCUUCCAUGGCGGAUGCUCUCUGAUGGGUAUCAGUGCAAAGAUCUUUGUACUUUACGCCCAUGCCCG